GUAUAUUAAAGUUGUUGCGGUUAAAAAGCUCGUAGUUGGAUUUCUGUCAAAGGUGAGGUGGUCCAUCUUAUGGAUGUGUAUCUACCCAUGCCUUGGCAUCUUCUUCAAGAACGCUUUCGCGCUUCAUUGCGUGAUGCGGAAUUGAAGACUUUUACUUUGAGGAAAUUAGAGUGUUCACGGCAGGCAAUCGCUUUGAAUACAUUAGCAUGGAAUAAUACUAUAGGGCCUCGGUUUUAUUUUGUUGGUUUCUAAAGCUGAGGUAAUGAUUAAUAGGGAUAAUUGGGGGUCUUUGUAUUGCAACGUCAGAGGUGAAAUUCUUGGAUUGUUGCACGACAAACUACUGCGAAAGCAUUGGCCAAGGAUGUUUUCAUUGAUCAAGAACGAAAGUAAGGGGAUCGAAGACGAUCAGAUACCGUCGUAGUCUUUACCAUAAACUAUGCCAACUAGAGAUUGGAGGUCGUUUUUUUCUGGACUCCUUCAGCACCUUAUGAGAAAUCAAAGUCUUUGGGUUCCGGGGGGAGUAUGGUCGCAAGGCUGAAACUUAAAG
RNAcentral lists this ribosomal RNA (547 nucleotides) under uncultured marine picoplankton. RNAcentral's name for it is "SSU rRNA". It matches the Rfam family "Eukaryotic small subunit ribosomal RNA", at positions 599 to 1149 of the family's 1831-position model. The record is from RNAcentral.